RNAcentral lists this ribosomal RNA (482 nucleotides) under uncultured Pelotomaculum sp. RNAcentral's name for it is "bacterial SSU rRNA". It matches the Rfam family "Bacterial small subunit ribosomal RNA", at positions 902 to 1382 of the family's 1533-position model. The record is from RNAcentral. Lineage: Bacteria; Bacillati; Bacillota; Clostridia; Eubacteriales; Desulfotomaculaceae.
CAAAUGAAUUGACGGGGCCCGCACAAGCGGUGGAGCAUGUGGUUUAAUUCGACGCAACGCGAAGAACCUUACCAGGGCUUGACAUCCCCUGACCGCGUAUGAAAGUACGAAUUCACCUUCGGGUGACAGGGAGACAGGUGGUGCAUGGUUGUCGUCAGCUCGUGUCGUGAGAUGUUGGGUUAAGUCCCGCAACGAGCGCAACCCCUACGUUUAGUUGCUAACGCGUGAAGGCGAGCACUCUAGACGAACUGCCGUUGACAAAACGGAGGAAGGUGGGGAUGACGUCAAAUCAUCAUGCCCCUUAUGUUCUGGGCUACACACGUGCUACAAUGGCCGGUACAGACGGACGCAAAGCCGCGAGGUGGAGCAAAUCCUAAAAAGCCGGUCUCAGUUCGGAUUGCAGGCUGCAAUUCGCCUGCAUGAAGUCGGAAUCGCUAGUAAUCGCAGGUCAGCAUACUGCGGUGAAUACGUUCCCGGGCCUU